Molecule: ribosomal RNA, 492 nt
Filed under: uncultured bacterium
Lineage: Bacteria
Description: partial 16S ribosomal RNA
Rfam family: Bacterial small subunit ribosomal RNA
Source: RNAcentral
AGUGAACGCUGGCGGUAGGCCUAACACAUGCAAGUCGAACGGCAGCACAGUAAGAGCUUGCUCUUACGGGUGGCGAGUGGCGGACGGGUGGGGAAUACAUCGGAAUCUACUUUUUCGUGGGGGAGAACGUAGGGAAACUUACGCUAAUACCGCAUACGACCUACGGGUGAAAGCAGGGGAUCUUCGGAUCUUGCGCGAUUGAAUGAGCCGAUGGCGGAUUAGCUAGUUGGCGGGGUAAAGGCCCACCAAGGCGACGAUCCGUAGCUGGUCUGAGAGGAUGAUCAGCGACACUGGAACUGAGACACGGUCCAGACUCCUACGGGAGGCAGCAGUGGGGAAUAUUGGCCAAUGGGGGGAAGCCUGCUCCAGCCAUGCCGCGUGGGUGAAGAAGGCCUUCGGGUUGUAAAGCCCUUUUGUUGGGGAAGAAAAGCAGCAGGUUAAUACCCCGCUGUUCUGACGGUACCCAAAUAAUAAGCACCGGCUAACUUCGUG